Non-coding RNA from Coffea arabica (coffee), 159 nucleotides. The record is from RefSeq and is a predicted model, not a curated record. NCBI's taxonomy places the organism in Eukaryota, Viridiplantae, Streptophyta, Magnoliopsida, Gentianales, Rubiaceae.
GUUCAAAAUCAAAUCAUGUUCGAGCACAAGAGAUGGUUCCACCAAGUGCAAUUGAUGCCUGGACUGCUGCUCACAUAAAAAAGGAUGGCCAAUUUGUGAAUAAUACUGCAAAAUCUCUCGAUGAUGAGUUAAAAGAAGAGAGAAGGCAAUGCAUCGAGA